Mus musculus (house mouse) is the source of this 4966-nucleotide RNA transcript. It is a transcript of the gene named tousled-like kinase 1, with no coding region annotated. Lineage: Eukaryota; Metazoa; Chordata; Mammalia; Rodentia; Muridae. The record is from RefSeq and is marked validated. The transcript is spliced from 21 exons.
CUUUCUUUCUUUCUUUCUUUCUUUCUUUCUUUCUUUCUUUCUUUCUCCUUCUUCUCCUUCUUCUCUUUCUUCUUUUUCUCCUGAAGGGCAAGAAGCAACUCUCAACUUUUCAGUUCCAUUUUGAGACUCCGGAGCCAGGCGAGAGCAGAGGCGUCUCGGGCAGGCUGGGUGUGGGGCGCGCUUCGGAGCAGGCGCGCCGCGGCGAGGGGGAGGCAGGUGGCAGCGGGGGCGCGCCUCCCUCCGGCCGGCUCCGCGCACGCGACUCGCCGCUCCGCGCCGCGCCGCGGGCCCCGCGCCUCCCAGCGCGCUCGCGCCCUCCCCGCCCUCGCCCCGCCCGGGCAGGGCCCUCCCCCCUCCCCCCUGCCGGCCCCGCGGCCGCCGCCGCCGCCGCUGCUACCGGAGGCGCAGGAGCCUCGCGAUAGUGUUUGCAUUGGCGGCGCGUGACGCCGCCGCCGCCGCCGCCCGUAACUGAUGCAGAGGUUACCCCGCCGCCUCAGCCGCCACCCACCGCCCGCCACCGCCCGGGCGACGCCGGGGCCCGACGCACUGCAGAGGUGCCGGCAGGUUCCGCCCGCGGAAGUGGCCUCGGUCGGCGCGGCCCGCGCUCCGCCCGCGCUCCGGCCCCGGCCCCGCGGCCCCGGCCACUCGCCUCCCCUCGGCGCUACCCUCCCCGCCCGCCCUCCGCCCGGCGCGCUCCCUCGGCGGCGCGGCGCUCCCCUCCCAGCCCUCGCGCCCGCGCUCGCCCUCAGCGCGGCCCCCGCCAUGACGGAGGCGGGUGCCGGUGCCGCCGCCGUCGCAGGGGGGGAGUCGGGCUCCCAGAAAGUAGCUUGAUGAGUGUCCAAAGUAGCAGUGGAAGUUUGGAGGGGCCGCCAUCUUGGUCCCGGCUCUCCACGUCUCCAACCCCGGGCUCGGCGGCGGCGGCCAGGUCCCUGCUGAAUCACACGCCGCCAUCCGGGAGGCCCAGGGAAGGUGCAAUGGAUGAGCUUCACAGUCUGGACCCAAGAAGGCAAGAAUUAUUGGAAGCAAGAUUUACUGGAGUUGCUACUGGGAGUACUGGGAGUACUGGGAGUUGCAGUGUUGGAGCAAAAGCUUCAACAAAUAAUGAAAGUUCUAAUCACAGUUUUGGAAGCUUAGGAUCUCUAAGUGACAAAGAAUCAGAGACACCAGAGAAGAAACAAUCAGAGUCAUCCAGGGGAAGAAAGAGAAAAGCAGAAAGUCAGAAUGAAAGUAGUCAGGGAAAAAGUAUCGGGGGACGUGGCCAUAAGAUCAGCGACUAUUUUGAAUACCAAGGUGGAAAUGGCUCGAGUCCAGUAAGAGGCAUCCCUCCAGCAAUCCGUUCUCCGCAGAACUCACACUCACAUUCCACUCCUUCCUCAUCUGUUCGACCGAAUAGCCCUUCUCCUACUGCAUUAGCUUUCGGGGACCACCCUGUUGUACAACCAAAGCAGUUAUCCUUUAAGAUCACUCAAACUGAUCUUACAAUGCUGAAAUUGGCAGCAUUAGAAAGUACUAAAAAUCAAGACCUGGAGAAGAAGGAAGGCCGGAUUGAUGAUCUGCUCAGGGCCAACUGUGAUCUCAGGCGGCAAAUAGAUGAUCAACAGAAAUUACUUGAAAAAUACAAAGAACGAUUAAAUAAGUGCAUAUCUAUGAGCAAGAAACUACUUAUUGAAAAGAGUACACAAGAAAAAUUGUCUAGCAGAGAAAAGAGUAUGCAAGAUCGGUUGCGCCUUGGGCACUUUACCACAGUUAGACACGGCGCUUCCUUUACAGAACAGUGGACAGAUGGUUUUGCAUUUCAGAAUCUUGUGAAGCAACAAGAAUGGGUGAAUCAACAAAGGGAAGACAUUGAACGGCAAAGAAAACUUCUAGGCAAACGCAAACCUCCCACAGCUAAUAAUUCUCAGGCACCUGCUACCAAUUCUGAAGCCAAGCAAAGAAAGACCAAGGCAGUCAAUGGAGCGGAAAACGAUCCCUUUGUUAGGCCAAAUUUACCACAACUGCUGACUCUGGCAGAGUAUCAUGAACAAGAGGAAAUUUUUAAACUUAGACUAGGACAUCUCAAAAAGAGAUAACAGUGUAGCACCAGCUCUGCCACUGACAUCCUGUUCUCUGACCGAUCUUGGCACCUGCAAAGAGAAACAAGCAGUGACAGGCAGCGGCAGCGUCAGUACUAACCUCCAUGGUGGCCUUUACAGGCUGAGAGCAAGCUCACAGUCUUUUCUCACUCCUCACAGUGGAAAAUGCAGCCAGUUGAAACGGACAAGACUGGAUUGCCUACAAGCCUUUUGAACAGUGGAGAAUGCAGGGCAUUGGUUUUAGGAAGAGGCUGAAAUCCAGGCGGAACUGGAGCGUUUGGAGAGGGUCCGGAACCUUCACAUCCGAGAGCUGAAGAGAAUAAACAAUGAGGAUAAUUCACAGUUCAAAGAUCAUCCAACGUUAAAUGAAAGAUAUUUAUUACUUCAUCUGCUUGGGAGAGGCGGCUUUAGUGAGGUCUAUAAGGCAUUCGACUUGUAUGAGCAAAGAUACGCUGCUGUGAAGAUCCACCAGCUUAAUAAGAGCUGGAGAGACGAGAAGAAAGAAAACUACCACAAACACGCUUGCCGAGAGUAUCGAAUACACAAGGAACUGGACCACCCCAGAAUAGUUAAACUCUAUGAUUACUUCUCCUUGGAUACAGAUACGUUUUGUACAGUGCUAGAGUACUGUGAAGGCAAUGACUUGGACUUCUACCUGAAGCAGCACAAGUUGAUGUCUGAGAAAGAAGCUCGGUCUAUUGUGAUGCAGAUUGUGAAUGCCUUACGCUAUCUCAAUGAAAUCAAACCUCCUAUUAUACAUUAUGACCUUAAGCCAGGAAAUAUCCUUCUGGUAGAUGGAACAGCAUGUGGAGAAAUCAAAAUCACUGAUUUUGGUCUGUCCAAGAUUAUGGAUGACGAUAGUUACGGUGUUGAUGGGAUGGAUCUGACUUCCCAGGGGGCAGGCACUUACUGGUAUUUACCUCCUGAGUGCUUUGUAGUUGGAAAAGAGCCACCGAAGAUCUCCAACAAGGUUGACGUGUGGUCAGUUGGGGUCAUCUUCUUCCAGUGCCUCUAUGGUAGAAAACCAUUUGGUCACAAUCAAUCUCAACAAGACAUUCUACAGGAAAACACAAUACUGAAAGCCACAGAAGUCCAGUUCCCUGUAAAACCUGUUGUAAGCAGUGAAGCCAAGGCCUUCAUAAGACGCUGUUUGGCUUACCGAAAAGAAGAUCGAUUUGAUGUGCACCAGCUGGCAAAUGACCCAUACCUUCUGCCACACAUGAGAAGAUCAAAUUCUUCAGGAAACUUACAUAUGUCUGGGCUGACAGCAACUCCCACACCUCCUUCUUCAAGCAUAAUUACUUACUGACUCCUCUAAGAUUGGCAUGACCUCUUCUCUUUGAUUGGCUUCCAGAUGCACACUUGAAUUUGACUGCAUUGGACUGUUUGUGGUAUUUUUACAUGGACAUGGUUAAGAAGUGUUUGUGAACUAAGCUCUCCAAGGAGUCCUUGUGUGAGAGUGGAUCAUGGACAGUGACUAAGUACACACUCACUCCUCACUGCCCUGGAGCAGCACGAAACAGGAAUACCAUGUUACAGUAGAACAAGGGGACUCUGUAAAUAACGUUUAUAAUACUUAAAUAUAUUUGAUUGUUACCAGAGAGUUGUAAUAUGAAGGGUAGUUUUUCAUUAUUUAAGAACACAUGGAAAAAUGAGGAGACAUUUGUAACCCGGGAGCUACAGUGCCUGGUACAGCGUCAGCACUCGGCAGCUGAUCUACAGAAACCAAAGCAAGAACUGAGUGACAGCAGCCGCUGUGUUUAUAACAGAAUGUGAGAGUUAGGGUCUUUGGACAGUUGGAGACUUUGUCAUUUGCCUAUUCUGACUUUUACCAAGUUGUACCUCGAGAUCACGUGUCAGUGGUCCGCCGCCCUACCCCCGACCCCUUAACCGGUUAUGUUAAAGGCAAGCUGUCGUUUCUGGACACUUUACACCUUUAACACAAAGAGCUGCCUAUUUCAAAUCAGUUGAAGUUACUAAAUGAUAGUAUUUCCAGGGCUUUCAGUGGGUUAGAUUAACAGGCGUUUUUCUUUUGUUUUCAGGCCUGGUUCAUUAAAACAGAAGACAGUGUGUAACCAAAAGCAGGCCAGUUGUAUGCAGGAUAAUGAUGAAUUCCCUUCUGGCUCUAUUGUAAACUACUGUACAGAUGUCGGAUUACAAUUACUGAGUUUCAGCAGCUUAUUCUUGUACAAAUGUUUAAAAAUACGGCUUUUCUAAUUGGAUAUUGUAUUUUUUUUAAGUCUUCUUGAAGGCGCUUUAAUUGCUGCUAAAUGAUAUUGCUUUUUUGCUAUAAAAAAUUGAAUGACCUUGAAGGCACAAGUUGACUGUACAUCAUAGAGAGAUAUUAAAAGCAGGCACUCGUUAACAAUCAAGGCAUGUGCAGUGAUCCAUGCUGGGCAUAUUGAGUUCUUCAAAUCAGUUUUUUAGGUUCUGGAGCUGUGGAACACAUAGAAACUAGAUUUAUAAAUUGUUCAUGGUUAUUCUACAUUUCUAGAAAGUUCUUAGCAUCAAGGUGGGAUGAUAGUCCCAUAGAAUGUUUCUCGUGGUUUGUACAGAUUUGUUAAAAUGUGAACAUUUUCUAACUACCUUGUGUGGUAGAAACCAAUAUUUUUUUGGGGAUGCUGUAUUUCAUUCUUGAAAGGAUUUUUUUUUCUUUAUUGUCAAAUUCAUAAUGCCGAGACUUACAUGUAAGUUGUCCAUGGUGCAGACAACAGGCUAUCCCUGCCAGCCGCCCCUAACAUGUACAGUUACACUGUGGCUCUUACCUGGUGUUGCAAGCCAUUUCGUUUGUUUGUUUUCAUUGUACAUAGACACACUGUCUGUUUAAGAUGCUGCUGGAAUUAUAGAGAAUGUAGCCAAACAGUAAUAAACAAUGACAGUAAAAAUGUAAA